AGGUGUGGUGGUGCAUACCUGUAAUCCCAGCAACUCGGGAAGUUGAGGCAGGAGGAUUCCAAGUUUGAGACCAGCCUUAGCAACUUUGUGAAAUCCUGUUUCAA
Molecule: small RNA, 104 nt
Filed under: Marmota monax (woodchuck)
Lineage: Eukaryota; Metazoa; Chordata; Mammalia; Rodentia; Sciuridae
Source: RNAcentral